RNAcentral lists this ribosomal RNA (253 nucleotides) under uncultured bacterium. RNAcentral describes it as "partial 16S ribosomal RNA". It matches the Rfam family "Bacterial small subunit ribosomal RNA", at positions 524 to 776 of the family's 1533-position model. The record is from RNAcentral.
UACGUAGGGUCCAAGCGUUGUCCGGAAUUAUUGGGCGUAAAGAGCUCGUAGGCGGUCCGUUAAGUCGGAAGUGAAAUCUCAAGGCUCAACCUUGAAAUCGCUCUCGAUACUGGCGGACUUGAGGCAGGUAGGGGAAGGUGGAAUUCCUGGUGUAGCGGUGAAAUGCGCAGAUAUCAGGAGGAACACCGGUGGCGAAGGCGCACAUCUGGCCCGAUACUGACGCUGAGGCGCGAAAGCUAGGGGAGCAAACGGG